CCUACGGGAGGCAGCAGUCGGGAAUUUUGGGCAAUGGGCGAAAGCCUGACCCAGCAACGCCGCGUGAAGGAUGAAAUCCCUCGGGAUGUAAACUUCGCAAGAACGGGAAGAAUAAGUAGGGGAUAAUACCCCCUAUGAUGACGGUACCGUUUGUAAGCUCCGGCUAACUCCGUGCCAGCAGCCGCGGUAAUACGGGGGGAGCAAGCGUUGUUCGGAUUUACUGGGCGUAAAGGGCGCGUAGGCGGCCACCGCAAGUCAGUUGUGAAAUCUCCGAGCUUAACUCGGAAAGGUCAACUGAUACUGCGGGGCUAGAGUGCGGAAGGGGCAACUGGAAUUCUUGGUGUAGCGGUGAAAUGCGUAGAUAUCAAGAGGAACACCUGCGGCGAAGGCGGGUUGCUGGGCCGACACUGACGCUGAGGCGCGAAAGCUAGGGGAGCGAACGGGAUUAGAUACCCCGGUAGUCCUAGCCUUAAACGAUGAAUGCUUGGUGUCUGGGGUUAUAUAGUCCCCGGGUGCCGUCGCUAACGCUUUAAGCAUUCCGCCUGGGGAGUACGGUCGCAAGACUGAAACUCAAAGGAAUUGACGG
This 586-nucleotide ribosomal RNA is filed under the name uncultured bacterium. RNAcentral describes it as "bacterial SSU rRNA". It matches the Rfam family "Bacterial small subunit ribosomal RNA", at positions 338 to 916 of the family's 1533-position model. The record is from RNAcentral.